This 1396-nucleotide long non-coding RNA is filed under the name Heterocephalus glaber (naked mole-rat). RNAcentral describes it as "lncRNA (ENSHGLG00000040570.1)". The record is from RNAcentral. Lineage: Eukaryota; Metazoa; Chordata; Mammalia; Rodentia; Bathyergidae.
UUCAACUGCUGCAGGAGGGACGCGUUGGGGGUGGCACCUGGGCCAGUGUGGUUUGGGUCCCCUAAGCCCUGUUCCCACUGCGCUAUGCCCUGGAAAGAACAUUUCCAGGAGAUGGGGAAAGAAAAGCCACAGCACCAGGGACUGGAACCCGAACCUUCUCACUGAGCUCAGCCUCUCCCUUCUUCCUUUUGUAUUUGGCACAAGUUUUCCUUAAGUUGCUGCUAAGUUUCCCUUGCUGGUCUUGAACUUCAGAUUCUCCUGCUUCAGCCUCCCAGAGGGCUGGGGUUACAGUUUUCCUGGGUGUUCAACAACUGAACUUUGGAGAGCAGAGGCAGAAAAAAUAACUGGGUAAGAGGACAGCCAAUAUUUUGGCCCUGGUCCUCCCAUGUCAACAAGGACCCAGAAGCUGAGGGGAUCUUUUCUACAGGAUCUUACAACUUUGUUAAAAUGGUGGUACUGAGCUGGAAAACGAUUUCUGAGCAAAAGAUUUUUCCUGCGGCUAGCUGACCUAAUUGACAAAGAGCCACCCUCAGCUCAUAACCCUCCCACACUCAACACAUGUCCUCCUUCAUUGUCCUUUGUUCUCAGGAAGUGUUUGUACCCAGUAUACUUUUCUAUCAAAUCUUGUAAACUAAAUGUAACUUCCUAAAUGCCUUAAACUGAUUAUAAAUGCCUUGCUUCUGUAUCCCCACCCCCUUCCCUUAAUCCAUAUAAACCCUGUUCAUUUCCAGCUCUGGGCUGAUCCCUCCGUGGAGAAAUCCCCAUCUGUCCGCCACUUGCCUCCAAUCUCAGAGUGCGUUCGAUUCUUCUUGGCCUGAUCUUAUUAUACCACUAAGAGCUGCCACACUGUGGACUGUAAGUUCGCUGUUACGGUACAGUACAGAACAACUGUAAAUAAACUAUGUUUACUUGUACAGAUACCUCAAAAAGGUAAGGUGAACUACUUCUGAAAGUUGUUCCAAUCUACAAAUGCAGUAAUGCAAGGUCUGUUCAUAUCUGUGAAAGUUCAUAACUCAAAUGUCUGUAAGUCAGGGAUUUGUUGUAUACUACAAUUAGUGCCACCCAACCCAUAAGAUCCAGCUAUGCAUCAGAUACCUGGGUGGGUGACCAGAACACCUGGAGCCAUCCCAUCCCCAAAAUGUUCCCGUUUUAGAAGUCACAGAUAAGCCAAGGUUAGUGAUGUCAGACAUGUACCCUUGCUAAGUGGCCCUAUCCCUAUUGGAUGAAUAUUAGCUAAGUGGCUAUACUUGUAAUCUUAUUGGUUGAUUAUAUCUUACCUACUUUGUACCCAUAUUUGCUGUAUAAAUUACUCCUGACAAAGGGCCUUGGUGGCAACCCACUUUCAGGACCACUCCUGUCUCUCAGGAGCUAUCUUUCAAUAAAUCUUUCAUAUCGU